This 279-nucleotide long non-coding RNA is filed under the name Mytilus galloprovincialis (Mediterranean mussel). The record is from RNAcentral. Lineage: Eukaryota; Metazoa; Mollusca; Bivalvia; Mytilida; Mytilidae.
CCUGUAUGAUUGUUUUAUUGGCGCUAAAAAAAACUAUUGCUUUCAAAAUGAAGUGACAUAAGAGAAGCAUUUGCGCAGACGAAGCAUGACCGCAUAUGAUUGUGGCACAAAGGAAUUCAUUAUUGAUACUAUAAAAUAUCGGACAGUUAUCGUGUUCACAGUAGUCAGCACUUCGGUGUUGACAUGAAUAUCAAUUAUGUGGUCAUUUUUAUAAAUUGUCUGUUUACAAAACUUUGAAUUUUUCGAAAACCUAAGGAUUUUCUUAUCCCAGGAAUGGAU